Molecule: ribosomal RNA, 253 nt
Filed under: uncultured bacterium
Lineage: Bacteria
Description: partial 16S ribosomal RNA
Rfam family: Bacterial small subunit ribosomal RNA
Source: RNAcentral
UACGUAGGGAGCAAGCGUUGUUCGGAUUUACUGGGCGUAAAGGGCGCGUAGGCGGCAAAUUAAGUCAGCUGUGAAAUCUCCGAGCUUAACUCGGAACGGUCAGCUGAUACUGAUCUGCUAGAGUGCGGAAGGGGCAAUCGGAAUUCUUGGUGUAGCGGUGAAAUGCGUAGAUAUCGAGAGGAACACCUGCGGCGAAGGCGGGUUGCUGGGCUGACACUGACGCUGAGGAGCGAAAGCAUGGGGAGCGAACAGG